AAAUAUGAUUUUGUUAAGUUGUAUGUAGGUAUUGAAUAUUAUUUAUCA
RNAcentral lists this small RNA (48 nucleotides) under Arabidopsis thaliana (thale cress). Its description in RNAcentral is "ATSL155710". Lineage: Eukaryota; Viridiplantae; Streptophyta; Magnoliopsida; Brassicales; Brassicaceae. The record is from RNAcentral.